This 301-nucleotide ribosomal RNA is filed under the name uncultured bacterium. Its description in RNAcentral is "partial 16S ribosomal RNA". It matches the Rfam family "Bacterial small subunit ribosomal RNA", at positions 509 to 807 of the family's 1533-position model. The record is from RNAcentral.
CAGUCGCCACGGUAACACGAGGGGAGCUAGCGUUGUUCGGAAUUACUGGGCGUAAAGCGCGCGUAGGCGGCUUUUUAAGUCAGAGGUGAAAGCCCGGGGCUCAACCCCGGAAUUGCCUUUGAAACUGGAAAGCUAGAAUCUUGGAGAGGUCAGUGGAAUUCCGAGUGUAGAGGUGAAAUUCGUAGAUAUUCGGAAGAACACCAGUAGCGAAGGCGACUGACUGGACAAGUAUUGACGCUGAGGUGCGAAAGCGUGGGGAGCAAACAGGAUUAGAUACCCGCGUAGUCCCUGUCUCUUAUAC